UAUUUUUGUUUAUCAGAGCUAUAUCUAACUCUUUAUCUUUUCUGAUUAUGCUAUUCAUUAUAUAUAGAAUCUAGAUGAUGUGGAUUUUGGUUAUAACUCUUCAUUUCUUUUUGUUUUCAAUCAUUUUUUCCUUGAAAGUGAAUCAUAUUAUCACAGAGAAAAAUGCACUGCAUAACGUGAGUAGAUAUUUGCAUAAGAAUAAGCUUAUGGUUGAGAGCGGUCGUGCAGACUAACAAAAUCUAGGAUAAAAUGUAGUGCAUGCUAGAUUUUAAGGGAAUAGCUCUUGAGAAUAUAUCGAAUAAGGAAGCUUACGUAGGACAUUUCCAUAUGGGCUGAAAGUUUAUAUUGGACAGAGGCAGGUUAACAUUAGUCAAAUGCUUCGUUAGAAGCAUUUUGAAUCAUGGCUGUUCAUUGCACUUGCUAAGAAAUACAUCUGGAUCAAUCUUCCUGAAUGUCUCUCACACUUGCUCCUGCUUAACACAAAUCCUCAUGAGAAUGUGAGUUUACCUUCUCCAAUGUUCUCCCACUCUUUAAACAUCGUGGUCAAUGCCCCUGUGCGACUUGCAUGUGAAUUGAGUCUGGGUUUAGGAGGAGCCACCAUGAGAUGCAAAAAGGGUUCCAAUGUUCCAUAGUAUAUGAGGCCUUGUGUUAUGGUUCUGGGUUGUGGAUCUGGUUAUAGGUUUGUGGGCUAAGGGUACAGUAGGAGCAGGAGUUUGAGUGUUUGGGUUAAGAGUCUUUUUACAACUUCUGGUCAUUAAUAAUUCAGGCUCUAAAAAAAGGAACCUGAAACCUACGAGACUUAAAGCGUUCAAGACGUAACUGAUUUUGGAAAUUGUCAUCUUCAUUGAUAUUAUUGCUUAAAUAUAGAAAGGAAGUAUAACUGCUUUCGACAUCAAAUGAGUACUACUUCAACAUGGAGGAACACCCUCCUCAACUAACCGCAUGAAAUAAAAAGCGGAGGAAUACCCUCCUACAAACAGGAAAUCAUUAAAACAAUUAACUAAAAAAUAGCUGAAAGAUAACUGAAAUAUUUGACUAAUUCAAAGGCUCAAUAUGUGGCUGCUUUGACUUGGAUCCAUGACUGAAUCGGAUAUAGACUUGCAGUGGUUUGGUAACACCUUGCUAACUGUGGUUUUGGCAACAUAGUGUAUGCAGCGUUCUCUUUCAUUGCAAGAAGGCUGUAUGCCUGUAUCUUAACCAUGGGCUAGGAAAGUGACUUAGUGGAUCAGGAUUUUGAAGCUGCGGGUUUUGCAGAGACAGAUGGAUACAGCCUUCCACUUCGAUGGGAGGAGGCUGUAUAAUAUGUAAACUAGUAAAACAACAAUCCCUGUAGCUUGGCCUGGUCAGCCAAGCGUUGCACAGAACAAGUAAAGCUUUUGUUUGUUCAAUGGACCAAGUUGAUUCCUGCUUGGCCCGGUAUGCCUUGGUCGCCUUCUCUGAUGCCUCUAAUGUUAAAACACGAGAAAAUUACUAUUUAGUCCCUGUAGUAUAAGAAAACUGAUUAAUUGGCCCUUCCAUUUUCAAAAAUACAUUAAAUUGUCUUUGAGGUUUUAAAAAAAUUCACUAAUUGGUCCCUUCAUUAAAUUUAGCUGUUAAAUGUUAGAAAAAAAAAAAUCAAAAUGCCUGCAUAUAGAACUAAUAAGUAGGUUUUUUUUUUAAAAUUCAUGAACCAACUAAUGAAUUUUUUCACAAGACAGGAACUAAAUAGUAAUAAUUCAAUUGAAACAUUCAUGGAAUCUUGAACCUGAAGUGUAUUUGCAAAACAGAUUUUAUAUGGACCUUUCGGCAUUUACAGCUUAGUGACAGAAUACUGUAUCACCAGGCUUUGUUUUAGAAGCACCUCUAUUUUAUUUUGAUCUCCUUUUUCUUCCUUAAACCUUACUGCUUUUCAGAAUAGACAGAUGUCUAUUUAAAAUCUGUUCAUAUCAUUUCUACUUGCAACUGUCUAACAGUUGGCUUUUGUCCUCGUAAUUAAAGGGAUGGCGAAAAAAGAACAGAUUAGUGUUUAACUCUCUUCCCUCCUUCCUUCUUCAUUUGAUUGCUAAUUGGGUGCCUCUUUCAGGAUCGGUCAGUGCUGCCAACUGCAAGGAAUUGGCAGCUCAGCCGGAUGUUGAUGGCUUUUUGGUUGGUGGAGCCUCGCUAAAGGUAAUGAUGUGGUUCUUAUUUCAUUUUAAAUUUUAUCCCCAAUUUUAUCCUUGUCCUUACAUUCCUUGUUUUUUCUUUUUGUGCUUUCGUCAUCAGCCGGAGUUCAUCGAAAUCAUCAAGUCUGCAGAGGUAAAGAAAAAUGCUUGAACCUGCACACUAGGCAGUAGGCAUUGGUGGUGACUCUUAGAAGCUUGUGUCGAUAUCGGGGCAGGUACAGAACCGAUUGAGUGUAAUUUUAGACAUGCUUUUUCGAGGAAAUAAAAUUUUCUUCCUGUAAUGAGAUACUGCACCUCAAACUGGUUUUCUAUAUUUAAAUAGAUUAUAAUAUUAUUUCCUUCUCAAUUUUUUUUUUCUCAAAGAUAAAAGAAAUUUCAUUCAAUAAAAAGGCAUUACGGUCCAAUGCAAUAGACAAAGGCCCAAAGGUCAUAGAAAACAAUCUAGAGUUCAUACAGAAAAAGCCUAAUACACCAUAUACUCUAGUAACCCAAAACCAAAAAACUUGACCUGAUUUUGACCCGGCAAAAACGAAUUGCUCCUCGUCUCUGGAAGCUCUAAUCACCGUUGUUGGUUGAAAAGAUUGAAGCCGAAGAAAACUAUAGCAGCUCAAAAGACAUUCGUACUUAUUGAGGAACUUAGGAGAAAGCAUAAAACAAUAUGCAACUUAAUUUCUAAAAACAAACAAAGAACGAAAGAGAGAGAGAGACCAGAAGGAAUGUAUGAACCAAAUGGAAGAACACCACCGAAGCUGGUAUUACGAAAGAGAUCUUAAAAGAAAAUCUUGGAACAUCAAUAUUAACGUUGGAGAAGAAGAGAUUUCGAAUAGCAACCUCAAUCGCAAGCUGUCACUCCUUGAGCUCCAUCGAUCGUCUCUCGCCUCGAGCAGUCAUUGCUAAAACUGAGAAAACUCAACUCCAUAUCUGAUAUCUGAAACAGGGCUGGCAAAAGGGAUAGCCACAGAAGUUCCUCUUCCAUUGGGAAUUUAUUUGAAGAACACCUAUUUGAAGAAGAAAAAAGAAAAUCAAAAAAACAUCUAAACAAAAUACAAAGGCAAAACCAUAGAAAACUUUCCCAAAUAAAGUUCAACCUAACUAGAAGAAAAAAAAAAAAAUCAAAGUAAAAAUAUUUACACCUCACUCAGAUGGGAGUUGCCGCAACUCUAGCAAAAAAAAAGACUUACUGUCUCACAAAAGUAAAAAAUCUAUACAAAGGAACUUCUCUCCAACGAGAGAGAAAAAGUAGGCAAUUUCUUCUCAAUUCUCAUGCUUUUGAUGUAGUUUUUUUUAUUAAGAAACUAGAUUUUAUCCUUGCUUUUGUUAUUUGCAUUUUAUGGCUCGUAAUUGAAUUUGAGGGUUCUGGUUCAAUGGCUCACUACUUAAUAGCAUCAAACAGAUAUACAAAUUAUUAAAUUUAAGGGAUCCAUUAGUUAAAAUAAAAGCUUAGUAGAUUUUUUUGUAUAAGCCCUUGUAGACUUAAAAGGAUGGAAUAUAUGGGAUUGGGCUCAAGAUAUUAUUUUCUAAUGACAAAUGAAGGAAGAAAAAGCUAACCAUUCUGCCAUCUUGGGAAUUAGGCACUUGAUGUUAAGAUAAUUUAGAUAGUGAAGUUUACGUUUACAAGGGAAGGAUUGAAUUUCAUGGCAUGCCUUGUGCUUUGUAAAAUGAUUGUCUCUCACGCUGUACUCUCAUCAAAUCAAAAGAUGUAGGAAUUAAAUUAAUGGUCCCUCUCACUCGAAAGGAAUUCCAAGCUCAGACUUUUAGGAAUUUCUUCUGAGAGAUAAUAUUGUUUUCCGGGAUUUGUCCAUUCUUGCUGGUAGGUUGCCAAUCAUUGAGAUAAUUUAUAUGAGUGAGCCUAACAUAUGAUGUAUAAUUAUUAUUAAUAUUAAAUUAAUGAUUGAUAAUAAUAAAAAUUAGGUAAUAAUGUGAAUUUUGUAGAUAUAUGUCAGCAUGUUUUUUGUUUUUGUUACUUUAUAUUAAAAUUAUAAAUUUAUCUUAGUUAUAUUUUUUAUUAAUUUAAGUGUAUUAUAAAAUAUUUUGAAAAUGAUGCUCCUUUUAAAUAAAAUUUAAAGGGAAAAUUAUAUAUUUGACAUUUUUAAAUAAUACGGGUGUAUAUAUAAUGUCAUAAAUAUUUAAUUUAUUUUUAUCAAUUAAAUCUUUUAAUUAAUUUAAUUGCUAAAAUUAAAAUCAAUAUGAAGAUUUGAAGACUAAAAUGAUAAAAGUAAAUCAGUUUAACUAAAAUUAGAAAAUUCAUCAUUGUAAACAUUUUUCUAUAUAUUUACUUUACACAACCCUGAAAUGAAAUAUUAAUGAAUGAUUAUAUUAGUAAUUUUUAACAAUAUUACUGUUGUUUACUACAGUGAAAUAAUAUUAUUUUAAUAUAAAUUAAAUUUUAAAUUUUAAAAUAAAAAUGAGUAAAAUUAUAUAAUAUUUUUUAUUUUUUAUUUUUUAAUAUAAUUGAUAUUAAUGUAAAAGAACUAUAUAUUCAUUUUAUUUUUUAAUAUAUUUCCUACAGGAUAACAUUUUGCAGACUGUUCAAAGAGAGAAUCAAAUAAUAAUAAUAAUAAAAGCCAACUAUUCAAACGUAAAAUAGAUAGGAAACGAAUAAGUAGUUGAAUUUCUAAGCAUGCAUGUGAGUCAACGAAUACCAAACUCAUAAAAUACUAUAAUCAUAAUAAGAUAAUUAUCCUCUAUUUAUUUCAAAUAAAAUAAAUUUGUGCGAGAAAUAUAUUUAAGGAAAAUUAUUUUUUAAAAUAAUAUUUUUAUUAUUUAAUUAUAAUAAUAAAUAAUAUUUUUAAAAAUUUUUUAUAAAUUAUUAAAAAAUAAAAAAAUAUUUUAUCUUUAAAAUAUUUUUUGUCCUUGGAUGUUUGUCAAAUGACAUCACCGUUGGACAAGCAUCGUGACGACAGAAUUACACCAAACUUCCUAAAUUAAGCACUCAAUAAAAUAUCAAAAGAUUCUAAAAAUGAGAAAAUAUCCAUCAAGAUAUUCCAUAUUCGAUUAUAAAAUUUUAAUUUAAUUUAAUUAUUUUUCUAUAAAUACAUAAUAAACUGCACAAAUUAUUAAUGGGUGACCUUAAUUCAACCAUAUAAAUUUGAUAAUUAAUAUUUUGAAAAUUCCAUUUGAAAAUUUUUGUUUCCAUUUUCCUUCAAUUUGUAGAGAAAACAGACAUGGCUUGUAAAAUUUAUUUUCUUUUGUAUAUUUUACUCUCAAACUUGUGGUCCUCCCUUUAUUUUCAUCCAUCCAAACAUGGCAGUAAUGGGGCAUGAAUAGGUUUAGGUGAUGGGUAUGCAUACACUGAAUUGGUCUGAAACCAAAAAAAGGAAAAAAAAAAAGGGUUUCGUUAAAAGCAAGAAGCUAAAAUUCACAAUUCUCAACACACGUCAUAAAGGAGAGUCAAAGAAUGGCAGAUGGGUACGUGAACCAAUAUUCAAUUUUUUAACAUAUCUAUUCUUUUGCAAAAGUCAAUUUCAUAGGGUAGGGCUUCUUAAUGAAAUAGCUAUAAUUUUAUCACUCAACCUAUUUUAUUUAUAUUAGGAUGAGUAAUUGUUCGGUUAAAUUAAAAUUUUGAUAUUUAUAAAAAUAAAUUAAAUUAAUUUAAUUUAAUUUAAUUUGAUAUUUUAAAUUUUUAAUAAUUUUUUAUUUUUUAUAUUUUAUUUUUAGUAUUUUAAAAAUUAAUUAAAAUAUUAUAAUAUUAAUAUGAUUUAAUUUUUUUAUAUUAUUGAAAAUAAUAUAUUAUUAUUUGAUAACCGCUGGAUUUCUUAACCCCGAACCAGGGCCUCGACCAUAGCCAAAAGCCCAUCAAGCAGAGGCCCACAUACACACGUGAGACAAGCCUGACCCGUAUGCCUUCAAAGGCCGGGCUCACCCAUCUCCUUCAUUCAAGCCGGCCCAACCCGCGCCAAGCAAGCCCUCUCCUCUUGGGCUCAGCAUCUGGUCCGACUCUCAGCCCAGCCCAGUGUCAGACCCAACUCAGACAGCCUGGCAGAUCCAUACGGAUGUACGCAUGGGGAGAAUCAGAAGCCGUUACGCAUGGAGCAGGCGGCUGAUACCCUCGUACACCCAAAUCCGCAUGCCAGAGACGCGUGUCCCAAUCACAGAGAGGCCUUUACACGUCACCAUGAGCCAAGCAGAAAAGAUAAAAGGGGAGGUGGGAAGAGGAGUCUAAAAAAAGUGGUAUCAACCAUUGUCUUGUAAUACAAAACCCUUGUAAAACCCUAUUCCAUUGAAUCUCAGAUCAUCAUUAUUACUAAUAAGUAGGUUUGAUUUUUUUAAUUUUUUUAAUUAAAAUCAAAUCAAAAUUAAAAUAAUAAAAAAUUUAAAAUUAAAAAUCGAAUCGAACCGAAAUGAAUAAACAAUUAAAUUGAAUUUCUAAAUUAAUUCGAUUCGAUUGAUUUUUUUUAUUCGAUCGAUUUUUUUUGUUUGAACCGAAUACUGCUCACAUCUAAUGUAUAUUAUUUCUUUUUUGCCAAGUAUAUGUGUAUACUUAUUCUAAUAAAAAAAAUAUAUACAUAAUGAGUUGAGUAUUCGGUUAAUUUAUUCGAAAUCGAAUUGAAUUGAUUAAAAUUUAUGUGUCCAUGAAAAUCAAACUGAAUCAAUUUUAAAUAAAAAUGAAUCAAAUUGAAUCAGUAUAAGUCAGUUCAAUUCGAUUUGAUUUGAUUAGUUUGAUUUUUUAAUAAAUUUUUAUUUUUCACUUUAUUUUUAAUAUUCUAAAAUUUAAUUAAAAUAUUUCAACGUUGAUUAUAAUUUAAUCUCUUUAUAUUAUUAAAAAUAAUAUACUAUUAUCACUAAUCGAUUUGCUUUAAUUUUUUAUUUUUUUAUACUAAAAUCAAAUUGAAUCAAAAUAACUAGAAAUUUUAAAAUUAAAAAUCAAACUAAAAUCAAUAAAAAAUCAAAUUACAUUUUCAAAUUAAUUAAAUUCGACCAAAUUUUUUAAUUUCAACAGAAUAACACUCAUUCGUAUGUAUAUAUUUAUUUAAUUUAAAAAAAUUAAAACAUAUUAACUAUAUAAAGAGCUGCAAGUUUUUUGAAAUCCCACAUCACAUAUGUACCACGUGAGUUAUAUAAAUUAGCAUGCUUUAAUAAAAUUAUUAUGAUUAUAUGAAAAAAAAAUCAUAUUUCUGAUUUGUAUAUUUGCAUUUAUCUACUUUUUUCAAAAAAAAAAAAAAAGUCAAAUAAGUUUGGCAUCACGAGAAUUUUCUUUUAUCUUCAUACCUUUCUUUUUCCAAAUUCAAUUUCUCAUCCAUGAUUUUAUCAUGAUCUCUUGAAGAUGAUUGUUACUACAUACUAUGGAUCUUUGCAAGGAGACAAUGCCACUUUGUUGCAUCUUAUGUCCUAUCUUAAUCUAAUCAUCUUGUGACUCACCACCUUGGAGCAUCUAGUCAAAAUAGCAACGGAUUGAAUCCACAUAACAUAAUACGUAUAAAAAUUGUAUUCAUGAAUCUUAGUAGGUAUAUAGGUAUUUCUAUUAAAAGAGAAAAUAUUAUAUAUUUUAAAAUUUUUAAAAAUUAUUAUUUUAUUUUUAUAAUUUUAGAACACUAGCUAAUUGAUUUUUUAAUUUUAAAAAAUAUAUUAAAAUAUUUUUAACAUUUUAAAAAUUUUACUAAUUAUUUUAUCGAUUAAUCUUAAUAAUUAAAUAUUUUACUAUUUAGUUCUUAUAAUUUUAAAAAAUUUAUUAGUUGGUCUCUCACACUUUUAAAAAAUUUAUUUAUUAAUUUAUUUAUAUUAGAGAUAUUUUAAAUUUUUUUAUAAUAUUUAACAGUUAAAAUUAAUAAAAAAAUUAAUUAUCAAAUUUUUAAAAUUUCAAAAAUAUUUUAAUAUAUUUUUAAAAAUUAAGGUACAAAUUAAUGAGUUUUUUUAUAUCAUAAAAAUUAAAAAAUAAUCUGUUUAAAAAAUUUUUGUAUGUCAUUGGUAGGAUUUACAUCAUAUAAUUAAUUAAUAUAUAAAUUUACUAAAUGAGUAAUAUGCUUUUAAUUUUUUAAUUAAAUUAAGUCGGAGAAAAAAAUUAUUUUAAAUAGUGUUAAUUGCACAUAUAACAAUUUUAAAAAAAAAACUUCAAGUGGUAUCAUCUUUUAAUUUUGAAUAUACAUACAAUUUAAUUGUAAUUGAAAAUUUCAUAUGUAUAAAAAUAUUUAAAUAAUUUAUUAGAAGAUAAUGAAAUUUGAUUUAAUUUAUUUAGAAAAAGAGAAAAAUAUUAAAUUGAAAGAAACGGGAGAAUUAAAUGCAUUGGUAAUUGUUGAAUGUUGACAUCUCAAUCAAAACAAAGGUAGACUUUUAUGUUCUAGCUACCAUCACCUUCUUCAUGCCGGCAUUAAUUUGAAAAUAAUUGAAGUUGUACAAUUAUUUCAACCUCACCCUCCACCUCUUAAUAAUUAAUUAAUUAUUAAAAGAUAUGCUUAAUGUGGACAAAUGUUCUAAUCCAAUUGCCAAAAUGAAAAUGUGGCUUUGCCUUCUGUGCAAAGGUCAAGACAUCCAACCCUAAUAUAGUUGUGCGAAAAUAAGAUUGACAAAAGGGAAAAAAUUAAUUAAGACGUUGAUGUUAUGAAAUUCAGGAAAUAAGGUUUAUAGUUGUAACGACCCGGAAAUCCGACCCGUUACCGGCGCUAGAAUCCAGAUCGGCUUAAGGCCGCCGGGACCCGUAGCAAGCCUACAUACCUCCUGUAAACCUGUGGAAUCCCAUACAUAACAACAUAUACAUGAUCUGUAAAAAAAUUUUCUUUUCUCUUAUCCAAGCAAAACCUGUGCAUGCACAAAAUCAUACAUAAACCCCACACUGGAGUCCUCAUCAAAUACUCCAAUGGGGUAUCAUCAUCAUACAUAUCAGCUUGGAUAAUCAUGGUCAUUAACAUCAUUACUCAUUAAACACUCUGUACAUAAUGGGAAUUCACACACCUCUAGGUCAAGCACUACUAUAAUCCUCAAUACAUCAUCAAAUCAUUCAUUACAUUACAUGGUCAUAAUUACUCAUUACAUCAUGUUCAUGUCCACUACUAUCUAUUACAAUAUACAUGACUGAACUUCACUCUAGCCGACUUCCUGAUCUAUCCUGUACCUGCAACUCUGGGGAUAAAGGGAGUGGGGUGAGCUACUAGAGCCCAGUGAGCAGAAUAAUAAAACAUCAAUUUAAAUCAUGCUUUCAUGUAUGCGCCAUAACACAAACAUUUCACAACAAGGAUGAACUUGUCACCAUUUAGCCCCUAUCUUUCUUACUUAUACAUGCCGGGGGCGUAGAGCCGUAGCAGGCACACCCGGACUUCCAUAAUCUGUCAUAGUGCCAGGGGCGUAGAGCCGUAGCAGGCACACCUGGACUCACAUAGGCUAUCAUGACAUACAAGGGCUAAUGGAUCAUUCAACAUUCAUCCACAUCAACAACAAGGUAUGCAAUGCAACAUAUUCGUGAAUUCUAAUGCAAACAACCUAAUAUAUCUCAUGGCAUUCAUGAUGCGUGAAUCAUGCUAAAACAUUUCAUUAAUUUGCUUUAAAACUUAAAGUUUAUUCCACUCACCUCUGGCUAGCUCUGAAGAGACUCUGAAGCAGCUGGCUCACUGCUGGGGGUCUCGGUUCCUCGGGUCCGAACCUACACAGGUGGACUCAAAUGAGGGACCAAACAUACAUGAAUAUGACUCUAAAAUACUCCCCCAAAACCCCCUAAAACGUCCUGAAAACAUCACAUGAAAACAUGCAAAAAAAUGACCGAACAGGGCACUUUCGGCGGCAGGUUCGGCGGCCGAAAGUCCCUCUGCAGCCGAAAGUCAUGCAGGUUAGGCGGCACUUUCGGCGGCCGAACCUCCCAGACAGAGACGAAACUUGAGUUUCGGGGGCAGGCUUCGGCAGCCGAAACUGCCUCCACAAGGGGGUUCGGCGGCCGAAAGUCACUUCGGCGGCCGAACCUGAGUUUCUGCCGAAGGGCAGAAACUUGGCUCCCUUGUGUCCACAGCCUCCAAAACGCCUCAAAACAUGCAUAAACUUGUUUCUACACAUGCAUACACAUCAUACAUCACACCUAGGGGUCUCAAACUAUAAUAUACCCCAACUACAACACUUCAAACAACACAUUUCCAACAUACAUUGUUCAAAUCACAACAUAAACCCAUAAACCUAACAACAAGCCUAAACAUACAUUCUACCCCAUCAACUUGCAUAAAACUUUCAUAAAACAUAAAAGAAGCAUAGAUCGAAGCUUACCUCUUGAAGAUCGAGAGGAAGAACGACCCUAGCUCGGAAAAUGGAGGGAUUUAGCUCCAAGACUUCCAAGCCCCAAAACUUGUUUCAAAAGCUUAAAUCUUCAAAACCAAGGGAAAACAAGUGAAAAUCUUGAAAGAUUUAGAGGAAGAACAUCAAAAAUGGGUGAGGGGCGGCGGAAAGCUCACCUUGGCCGAAAAUGGGGAAAAACUCGCCCGUUUUCGGCUAAGGGACCCUUUUAUAGUGGCUGGCCAGACCACGUUCGGGGGCCGAAUGUGCCUCCGCAUGCAUGCCAUGUUCGGCGGCCGAACAUGAGGUUCGGCGGCCGAACCUGGACUUCCCUCACUCAUGCUUUCGGGGGCCUAACGUGCCUCCAAAACGCAUGCAUGUUCGGCGGCCGAACUUGACUUUCGGCGGCCGAACCUGGGUUUUCCUCCAAAGACUUUUCAUGCAAAAACUCAUUUAAUUUCUUACUUAAAAACAUGAAAUACAUGAAAACAUUUCAUAAAAUCAUAGUUUUACCCUUCUAGAGGUUUCCGACAUCCGAGGUCCCACCGGACGGUAGGGAUUCCGAUACCGGAGUCUAGCCAGGUAUUACAAUAGUAGUGGUGUAAGCUUAACUAUUGACGUUUAACGGUCACUGUGCCAUCUGCUUUUGUCACACUGGGACUUACGUAUGAAAACGUCAUGCACUUUUUUCACACUAGUCGACCAUUUAAUUUUUUUCUCUGACUGAGCUUCUUUUUAUUAGACUUGGACUGGUGAGUGAUCUGAUCCACUCCAUGCGUUCGGAUCAAGGCGGAAGGCGUUGAUCUGAUCGAUUCUAGAAACUUCAUAAACUUUAGACUGGUAUUGUCUUCGCAAGUCUAGCCUCAUACUGAAUCGGUAACGUCCAGAUAUCAAAUCUAAUAUUUUAAGGAUAUAUAUUUAUAUAAUAAAUGAAGCAAUGUUUGUUUUAAAGUGCAUAAUACAAAUUGAACAUUCAUGGUAAUUAUUAAGAAAUUUCAAAGUAAUAUCUUAUAUUAUAUUCAAAGAAUACAAUAAAUUAAUAAUACCCAUAAGAAUGUGAAGAGAUAAUUAGUCAAAGGACUUUUCUCUUUAUAAAUUUUUCCACUUGUUUGAUAAAAAUGCAUAAUUGAAGGCAUGGUCAACCUUUUCCACUUUGUCCAUGGCUAAAGCUCUCUGGUAAAAUAGAACUUUCUAAGAAAUCCCAAAAUAAGCACAAAGCGACAAAAACCACCCAUCUGCCUGCGUACUCGUCUCGUCUCUUUACUCUUAUUAGUAUCUUUCCCUCUCAAGCUUUCAUUCGGUCAAAUUGUGCGAUUGGUUGGUCAUCGUUGUGGGUGACAGCUAACUCUGCCUAUAAAGCUCGGUUUCACACUUGAUUUUUUUCCUUUGUUCACGGGUUCAAGCUUCCUUGCUUUGUUUUUGUCGGGUAUUUUGAGUUGGGUUUUUUCUACUUUGUAUAAUCUUUGGCAGCUGAAGGCUGGUGAGAAAGAGUGAGCAACUUGAAGCUUGAGCUUUGAGGUUUUUGUUCAUGGGUUCGUGCUUUAGUGUGAGAAUCAAAGCUGAGAGUCCUCUUCAUCAUGGUAUGUUUUUUUGCCUUGUUUUUCAUUUUUUUAAUGCUAAUUUGAGCUUUGUAAUUAGCGGCGGACUUUUGUUUUUCUUUCCUUUUCCGGGAUCUUUCUUUUAACGUGAAGCUGUUUGGUUUUGAUUAGUAAAACAGGAAAGACAGAAGCUUUAGAUAGCUUUUCUUGAAAAAGUAUAAUCAUGUUGGAUACUUUUUGCUUACAUUUUCGGUGUUAGAUUCUGUUUGGUUCCUGAGAAAAGGUAAAGGAAAGAAGAGAAAGCGAGAAUUUUAGCCCUUUAGACAAAAAGAAAAUUUUGAUUCCUUUCUAAGAUCCAAUUAAUCUUCACAGUAUUCUAUUGAUUUCACUGCGAAAUUUUGUUGCAUUACCAUUCUCUGCUCAUUAGAAAUUUUGUAUCACCAUCAAAGAAUUAUCCAAUCCAUUGAUUUUGUUUUCUUAAAAGUGUAGACAACCAAAAAUAGAUAAAAGAACACAAGCCUCUAGUUGUUUGAGCCUAACUAGCUCUGCCAUUUGGCAAUUGGCAAGGCUUAGUUAGUAGGGGCUUUGAUUAUGAUAGAAGUGUUUAAAUUUUACUUCCUGUUGUUUAUUUUCCCUUAAAUUGAUUUGCUAAUUGAGCAAAGAUUUGGUUAUUUAUUGGAUGGUGAGUUAGAUUGCUCAUUAUUUAUUUUAUUUGGCAUUAUAGCUUUUUGAUGGACUUGCAAGAUUUGUGAUAUUUAAUUGUUAAUUCUGUAGGGGCAGAUCCAAAAUCUGGCAGCAAAGGUGGAUAUGAUGCGAGUGGAACUAGCAGCACAGUGCCUUCAACUCCUCGGACUGAGGGCGAGAUCUUGCAGUCUUCCAAUUUGAAGAGCUUUAGCUUUGGUGAACUAAAGGCAGCCACCAGGAACUUCCGCCCCGAUAGCGUGCUGGGUGAAGGAGGAUUUGGCUGUGUCUACAAAGGAUGGAUUGAUGAACAUUCACUAACACCUGCCAGGCCUGGAACUGGCAUGGUUAUUGCUGUGAAGAGGCUUAACCAAGAGAGUUUCCAGGGUCACCAGGAAUGGUUGGUAAGUAUUCCCCUCUUUGAUUCGCCUUGCUGCCUAUUUCUAGAGCUGUCAUUAGGCACCGCCAAUUACCUAAAUUUAUUACUUAUUAUUACAUUCCAUAAGGCAAGUGUAGCACUCGAAAAUGCUUUUUAAUUACCUAAAACAGACAUAUUAACAUCUUUAAGGAUAUUGCUCUUGUUAACUCAUAUGCAUGAAUGCUAGCAUUUAAAGACAGCAUCAUUGAUAAAUUUUUUGGUGCUUCUUGGAAUCUAGACCGAAAUCAACUUUCUCGGGCAGCUUUAUCAUCCAAAUCUUGUGAAAUUGAUUGGAUACUGCUUAGAGGAUGACCAUCGCCUUCUUGUGUACGAGUUUAUGCCAAAGGGCAGCUUGGAGAAUCAUUUAUUUAGAAGUAAGUAAUUCAUAUCCUCUCUUGUGCAGCCAUUUCAACAUGGGUGACAUUUUCUAUGACUUCAGAAUAUCUCAAAAAAUAAAAAAAAGUUUUGAAAUAAUAAUACUCCUGGUGUAAACAGGGGCUUCUUAUGUUCAACCACUCUCUUGGAACCUUCGAAUCAAGAUUGCUCUUGAUGCUGCUAAGGGUCUGGCAUUUCUUCAUAGUGAUAAGGCCAAAGUGAUAUAUCGAGACCUUAAGGCUUCCAAUAUCCUGCUUGAUUCAGUAUGUGAAAAUGUUUUAAUUUUGGCUUAUACUGGAGUCACAAUAUUUGCACCUCUCUAACACCCUCCUCCUUUCUUUUCUUUUUUAAAUCGUAACGACAGAACUAUAAUGCCAAACUCUCUGAUUUUGGGUUGGCCAAGGACGGGCCAACAGGUAGUAAAAGCCACGUUUCAACUCGAGUAAUGGGUACUUAUGGGUAUGCAGCACCUGAAUAUAUGGCUACAGGUACCUGGCCUUCCAUUCUUUACUUUGUUCAAGUUCAUAUUUUAUGUUCUUUUUUUCUUUUUGCGUGUUGAAAGUUGAUUUUGGUGCAUGCUCUAACUAUCAUCAUGCUGAUCCAUCAAAUGUUUAUGGGUCGUUGUCCAUUUGAUAUUCUUUUACCUACCCAUAUCUCACUUUCUUUCAUUUUUUAUGAAGGUCAUCUAACUAAGAAGAGCGACAUAUACAGUUUCGGCGUUGUGCUUCUUGAAAUUUUAUCUGGCAGGCGAGCUAUAGACAAAAGCAAACCAUCAAGGGAACAAAAUCUAGUUGACUGGGCAAGGCCUUAUCUUGGCAGCAAACGCAAAGUUUUCCAAGUAAUGGACGCCCGACUAGAAGGCCAGUAUUCACUGAAAGAUGCACUAAAAGCAGCUAAUCUUGCAGUACAAUGCCUAUCGACGGAGCCAAGGUUUAGACCAAAGGUGGAAGAAUUGGUAAAAGCAUUGGAACUAUUGCUCGAAUCCAAUGACAAUGAGGAAUCUAGAGGUUCUCAAAGUGAAAAACCCCGAAAACGCUAUCGAAGUUCAAGCAACGAUCCUAAAAAUCGUAGAAGUACCAAAGAAAUUUCUGCUGGAAAAGCUGCCUCUAAUCCAAAGCCAACCGCUUCUCCUCUGCGUGCUUAGAAGAGUGAAAUAAAUGCUUUGCUACUCACAACUAUCCAAAGGAAAUUAUGAAUUUCAUUGUAUGAGUAUAUAUAGUUUGUUAACAUAAUGAGUCUGCUAUUGUACAGUUCUUCAUUUCCAUGACAUCUAAAUUUGACAUUUCUUUGCGGUGUUCUCUUUUCGCUCGUCGUUCGUGACCCAGUACAUUUUUAAGGUAGGAGGUGCCUUUGUUCAGCCUAUAUUAACUAAAGAACUAUCAGGAUUCUCAAUCUACAGGGGUGCCUUGAAGGAAUGUUGUACAGACCUGGAAAGUUUUUGCAGAAAAUGUAUUUAGCUGCUGAGCUUGGAGAACUUUCAUGCCUAUGCUUCCUCAUGUCCCCAUGUUCGGUUGAGGUUUUACAGCAGAAAGUACAUGUGAAGGCAUUUUCUUAAGACCAAGUUGUCAUUUGUUUGGACAGAUGAAGUCAAUGGUAGAACAGAAUAUGUAAUAAAAUUUGCCGAGCUACCCCACAAGUGGGUCGUGGUUCUCAUGGGAAUCUGGUGCCUUUCAAUCCAAUUGAAGGCUUUGAUUGUCGGCGACCACAGAAAAAGAGUUGUAUGACCAUGUGGUCUUUGAUCUCUUGCAUGAAAACAAGUGAUAUAUUUUCUCUGCGAUCUCGUAAAAUGAUCCCAAGCAUACGUCAGAUUAUGGAGGAUUUCUUCUGAAUCUUGAGUCAGAUUUUUGCCGUUGACGUGGAUUGUUGUAAGCAUCAUUAUACUUGAAAAUAAAACUGCAUCUUUUCCAGUUUCCUAUUUUGAUAUAGAAGAGGGUGUUUCUCUUGAGCAAAGUUAACUUAUAAAUUAACUUAUAAGCUUAAUUCAUAAAUUCAGUUGAACAUCAAGAUGCUUUUAAAGUAUUAAAAAUAUUUUUUAAAACUAUAAUAAUAAUAAUUUUUUUAAAUAAUAAUUUUUAUUUAUAUUAAGAAAAAUGGAUAUGAUAUGUAAGAAGCCCCUCGUCAUCAUUUAGGUUCUAGGUUUCGGUAUCGUUCAAGGUAAGCUUUCAUAAUAGUAUUUUGGUUUACUUGUCCUUGUGCUUGUCAAAGUUGGUGAGAAAAUGUAUUUAAAUGUUGUCAGGUCAUACUCUCCUGCUUCAAGACGGCUGGACUAUUCUGCUUCCCCAGGUAGAAGACUUGCAGACCGUCUGAGAUCUCCUGGGGGUCCUCCACCAGCGCGCAAUGGUGAUCACAUUCGAAGGUCUUAUUCCCCUGGUUAUGGUGUGGAUGAAAAAUGCCAUGGUUACAGCGAGCAAGUGUUUUCUCUAUUCUACCAUUUCAAAAUUUUGUUGUUUUUGCCAUUCAGUGCAGUUGAUAGCAAAUCCGGUCGUGUGUAUUUGUAUUAUACUAUAAUCAAAAUUUGAUUGCUUCAUUGAAAAAAAACGUGAAUGUAGACAAGAUAACGAGAUGAUAUGGAUCAAUUAGUUUUAAAUUUUAUGAUAAAUUUAAAUCGGACCUUUGAAUCGGACUUUAUCAUAAAAUUCAAUACGAAAAUUCUAUAGUUUAGAAUAUAAAUUUUUUAUUUUAAUUAUUUUUUAUAUAUUUUAAAUAUUUUUAUAAUUUUAUAUAUUAAAAUUUUAUUUUUAUUAUAAAUUGUAAUGCUUUGUUUUUUUUUUUAAUUUUUUAAAAAUUUUAAUAAAAUUUUUAAUUUUUUAGUAUAUGUCCUUUAUCACAAAAACUUGAAUAGCAUCAUCUGAUAGAGCUUCAAGGUCAGUUUCUAGAUCAAGAUCUAGAUCAGCUGACUUGUCACCAGGCGCAGUAGACGAGGAAGUGUUAUUACUCGGUUGUCAAUUUCUGUAACAUGUUUUGCUUGAACUUGAACCUGGUAGAGCCAUAUCAGUAGUCCUGUUGUUGAAUCAUGUGGAGGAAGGUAAAAUGUUUUAAAAUUUUCUAAAUCCCAAAUUCCAAAUGGUUCUUCACUUGAUUUUUGUAAAACAUAAAAAUGUUAAAUUUUGAUGACCGCUGAGUCACGCAAUCAAAUUGAGAUCGAAAAUAAGAGAGUCAAACCUAAAAUCUAUCGGAAUUCACUGCACAAAUUGAUCCAUUAGCACACAACUCAAUCCGUGGCUGAAAUGGACCAGACUGACUGGGAGUCUGAACUUAUCAGAAAGGAAUUCAACUCAUUUGACAUAAAAGAGUAGAAAAGCAAGUCCAAUUAUACUGCGAUCCUAUCAGCAUGAACGUUGAAAGAAAAUUAAACGGCGUCUAACAAUAGUGGACAGGUGGAUACCUAUGAUUUUGUAUAAAAGUGACAGGUGGCGGUUAUAUAUAAUUAGAAGAUAAGACAAAAAAAAAGAGAUAUGACUCAUUCACAUCAAAUUUAUUCAUACACACUUAAAUUUUAAGUUCUUUAAAUCUCAAAUCAUCAAAUUUCAUCAAAAUUCAUGAAAUUUAAUCAAAUUGAUCACGCAUUUAGAGAAUACUUAUUUAAAAAAAUAUUAUAAAACUAAAGUUAUAAUAAAUCUUAUCUAUGAACUUAGACCCUAAUGUGGUUAAAAAAGUUUUCCUCGCAUAAGCGUCGUGACUGAUUACGCAGGUUAGGCUAAAUGACUAUGACUGGUCACAGCAGUCAUUAGUUGAACCAAUAAGAAAAUUCUGGUGGCUUCUAUUCACGUUGACUUGGUAUAUCAAAAAUACUUCGUCAAUACCAUUAAUAGCCGUCUUAAUGAACUGCAAACUUCAUCAACCAUAUUAAAUUGUAAGAAUCCAAAUGGCUUAAUUAAUAAGGAUGACAAUACUCUUUUUUAUCAAUUGGGUUCAUUGUUUUUGUUCAAAAUUAUUUUUAGAUUAUUUAUUUUGAUAUAUCACAAUUUUCUUAAUAAUAAAAAUAUUAAAUUUCUUUAAUAGUUAAAAAUGAAAUUGAAUAGAUCAUAUUAAUAUUAUUUUUCUUGUUUCAAAUAAGCUCUAAAUAAAAGAAUAGAUCAUAUUAAUAUUAUUUUCCUUGUUUCAAAUAAGCUCUAAAUAAAAAUAUUAAAUUUUUUAUAACAAUAAAAAACAUUGAAAAUGUCAAUGGAGCUUUCCUACUUCUUUCUUCUCUCUUUCUGCGAGAAUUUAGGUAUUAAAAUUUCUUGUUUACUUUCCAUGUCCACAUGCUCAAUUCUUUAAGCUAUUUAUAUCUUCUUCUUCUUCUUCUCAUUCAGAGGUGUUCUAUUCAAUCCUUCAGAAAGAUUCAAGAAAGCAAGAAACAAACAGAUAUGGCUAUCGGAUUAUUGGAAGUGCAGCUGCUGAAUGCAAAAGGCCUCAGAGGCACUGAUUUCUUAGGUAUAUAUAUAAGCCUAAUCCCCUCUCUACCAUCAUUUUUCUCUCCUUCUCUUCUUUUUCACCAUAUCCUCACUGCUUCUUGUUUCAAACGAUUUUCCUACUGAUUCUGCUCAAAGACGCAGUUAAAAGCUGGAUCAUUUCCAAUAAUAUUAUUGAUGAUCAGAAAAUCACAUAAAAUUAUUUAUUUUUUUGGAAAAUGAAAAAAAAUUUUCUUUUGUUUUUGUGUGAAAUUUAAGAAGUUAAUUUUGUUUGGUUUUUGAAAUGUGAUGAUAGGUAAGAUAGAUCCAUAUGUUAUCGUCAAGUACAAAAACCAAGAGCGCGAGAGCAGUGUCGCCGGAGGUUAGCUUUUCUAUUACUCGAUUCAAAUUAUCAUCAAUUUUCUUAUUAUAAUAAAUAAAUUAAAUAUUUUUAAUUCUAUUAUAUAAUUUAUUUUUAAAUUAAUUUGACUAUUUAAAUAUUAUUUAAAUAAUAAAAAUAUUAAAAUAUAAAUGCGCUGACGUAAUAAAUCGAGAAUCAAAGGGAAGGAUUUGAUUUCAGAGAAUAAUAAGCAUGUAGAGCUGUUUCCAGCACAUCAAUGAUCUUUACUGAUCAACUUGAUUAAUGAACGGGGCAGGUGCAGGUGGGAAUCCAGUGUGGGAUGAGAAAAUUGCAUUCAAAGUGGAAUAUCCAGGACAAGGUGCUGAUUACAAGCUCAUUCUCAAAAUCAUGGACAAGGACACCUUCUCUACUGAUGAUUUUCUUGGCCAAGCCACGUAAGACUAUUUCUAUUUAAUAAUUUUUUAAGUUAAAUUAUUAUUUAUUUUCUUACUUAUAUUAAAAGGGGAAGAAAAUAUGAAUUGGGAAUCAAGUCUUUGAGAUAAAAAAUUAAUUUAUUAAUAUUUUGACAAGAGAGUAAAUUUUUUUUUUAUAUAUAGGAUAUAUGUGAAGGAUUUGUUGGAAUUAGGAGUGGAGAAGGGAAGUGCUGAAAUUCAGCCUAAAAAAUAUAGCAUUGUUCAAGCAGAUCAGUGUUACUGUGGAGAGAUUCAAGUUGGCGUCACUUUCACCCUCAAGGUAUUUAAAAUCCUUACUUAAAUAUCCACAUUUUUUAAAAAAUAUUUAAAUCUUAUGGUUGCUUUGUUGAUUGUAUUAGGUGGAAGAUGGUGGCAACCAUGAAGAGUUUGGUGGGUGGAAGGAAAGCUACUUUUGAGUGUUUUUUUUUCUUUUUUUUUUCUAAAAUAUCAAAGUAGUUUAGUUUGAUGUGAGAGUUUGAAUUUAAAUGAAAACAAUUUCUUUAACUUUUAAUUUAUUAUUAAUUUUGAAGCAAAUUUUUUUCAUGAGGUAUGGAUGCAAUGAAACUUAUAUAAUCUAUAUUGCUAUGCCGAGUGUUAUCCGUGUAAAAGGUUAGCAAUUUGAUCGGUUUAAUUUAAAAUUAAUUCAACAGAAUAAAUUAAAAAUUAAAAUUUUAGUAUUUAUGAAAAUCGAAUCGAAUUGAUUUUAAUAAAAAAAUUAAAUCGAAUUGAAUUGAUUUGGUUUAAUUUGAUUUGAUUGAUUUAAUUUGAUUUGAUUGAUUUAAAUUUUUAAUAAAUUUUUUAUUUUUUAUACGUUACUUUUAGUAUUUUAAAAUUUAAUUAGAAUAUUUUAAUAUUAAUAUGAUCUAAUAUUUCUAUAUUAUUGAAAAUAAUAUACUAUUAUCACUAAUCGAUUCGAUUUGGUUUUUUCGAUUUUUUUUUAUUAAAAUCGAAUCGAAUUGAAAUAACUGAAAUUUUUAAAAUUAAAAAUCAAAUCAAAUCAAAAUGAAUAAAAAAUUAAACUGAAUUUUUAAAUUAAUUCAAUUCGAACAAUUUUUUCGAUUUGAACUGAAUACUGCUCGACUUAGUGUUGCAUAAAUCGACUUGUUGCAUAAUUUAUUUUUUUAAAAAAUAAAAAUUAUAUAAAUUAGAAAAGAAAUAUUUCAUUCAAAAUAAAAAUUUAAUAAAAUGGAAAUUAAAUUAAAUUCUUUGAAAAAUUUUUAUUUUAAAUAAAGGGUUAAUAUAUUUUUAACUAUAUCAAAACUAAAAUUUAUUUCAUAAGUUAUUGAAUCCAUUUUUAAUCCCCGACAGAGUGUGAGAUUUUUUCUUUCCAAAUUUUUGAAAUUGAAUUCUAAUAUAUUUUAAUGAAAUUUUCAAAUCAUUUUCUUUAACAGUAUUUAAAAUAUAUUUUUUAAAAAAAAUUCAAUAUUCUUUUCUUAUCGAAAAUCAUAAUGACAAAUGGAAAUAUAAUAAAGGAAAAUAAUAAAUUUAACUUAUUUAUUUUCUAACACAAAAAUCCCCUACGUAUGAAUAUAAUUAAUUAACUCUAUAUUUGUUGAUAAAAGAAUGCAUCAAGUAUAAACAAUUUAAGAAAAAUAAAAUAUUUUGUUUAAAAUUAACUAAUUGACAAAUAGAACGCAACAGCCGUCUUAGCUCAGCCGGUAGAGCGCGUGGCUUUUAACCACGUGGUCGUGGGUUCGAUUCCCACAGACGGCGUCGUCUUAUGAUCUUUUUUGCUGCGUCUGUUUUACUUUGACAGGGAACUUUCUUGAUAAAGAAAAAAUGAUUCUAUUUCCAUUUUUCACAAAAAAACAAAUAAAAUAAAUUUAUUGUCAUUUGAUCCGACAGCCGUCUUAGCUCAGCUGGUAGAGCGCGUGGCUUUUAACCACGUGGUCGUGGGUUCGAUUCCCACAGACGGCGUUGUGUUUUGACCUUUUUGGCUGCGUCUGUUUUACUUUGACAGGGAACUUUCUUGAUGAAGAAAAAAUGAUUCUAUUUCCAUCUUUCACAAAAAAACAAAUAGAAUAAAUUUAUUGUCAUUUGACCCAACAGCCGUCUUAGCUCAGCUGGUAGAGCGCGUGGCUUUUAACCACGUGGUCGUGGGUUCGAUUCCCACAGACGGCGUUGAAAAAUUGAUUCUGCUUCCAUUUUUCACAAAAAAAUAAAUAAAUUUAUUAAUAAAUUUAUUUUUAUCUGACGCAGCAGCCGGCUUAGCUCAGCCGGUAGAGCGCGUGGCUUUUAACCACGUGGUCGUGGGUUCGAUUCCCACAGACGGCGUUGUGUUUUGACGUUGAUAAUUUACCAAAAGAAAAAAAUGAUUCUAUUUCCAUUUUUCACAGAAAAAACAAAUGGAAUUUAUCCAUUAGAUUAAUUAUUUUUGGGUCGAAAGACAAUAUAUCCAUUAGAAUUACUAGAUUUUUGUUCAUAAAAGUCAUUCUUGAAUCUUGAUGAUGAGGUGACCACGAAAAAUUUUUGCCCUUUUGUUCAAGAAAUGUAUAGGAAAGUUUCAAACUAUUCAUGGGCUUCACGUCUUCACCUUCGUCAAUUUCUUCUAAAUUUAAUGUUUUUUACAUUUUGAAAUAAGUUCAUGAGAUAGCCAUGUUCCUUCACUUAUAUCAGCCACCACCACCACCACCACCGCCACUACCACCGUCCUUUACAGCUAAAAAUUCUUUCCACCGCACAUUGUUAAUUUCUCUCCCUUUUGUUCACUCCAUUCUUUCCAGCUCUUCUAACUGAACCCUUAAUGGUUCCCACGAUCCAAGUAAGCCUUCCUUUUCUCUGUUUUAUUAAGGACCUUUUGCUUGCUAGUUCCUAACAUGUUGCCCUGAGGUUGACAAGUUUGAUUCUUUUUCGAUCCUUGGCUUCUCAGAUAAUGAAAUUUGAAGACUUCCUGAUGCAACAAAGUGAUGAUAAGCAGAAAAGGCUCGAUCUCGAGAAUGAGGUGAAUAUAAACUUCAUUUUUGAGGUGAAUAUAAACUUCAUUUUUCCAUCUGGGUUGAUGAAAAUUCGGCAUUGAAAUAACUCCAAAUGACCCUUUAUAACUGGUGCAGGUUGAGAGCUUGAGAGUAAAAUUAGAAGAAGAACAGACGAUGAACAAGGUCUUACACUCUGCACUGCAUGGUCCUGUCUCAUCACAGCCAUGCCUUGCCUUUUUGCUUCCACCACAGGUAAGAGCAAUAAUCUAAGACGACAGUAGUUUUUGUAAGGGAAUGAUGUUAUAAAGAGGAAUUAUAAAUCUGCAGGUUCAAGGGAUUCUUACAGAACUAGCAAUGGUAGAGGAGGAGAUCAUAUGGCUAGAGAGAAAAGUUGAUGAGCUGAAACUAAACUUGUACCAAGAAAGGAAACAAACUGAGAAAUGGAAACUUCAAAGGAAGCAGCAGAGGAAACUCAGAAACCAGAAUCACUUACCACCAUGCAGACCAGGUAAUGCAUCGCUGCUUGAAGAUAACUGCAGUCACCUAUCAAGAUCACAGCAUUUCAAAGAGUUCAGGAAAUUCAGAAGAGCUUCAGUGGGUUCUGCAGAGGAAAUGUCUUGUGUGAUUUCAACAGGUUCCACUAGUAAGCUUCCAUUUUCUCCAUCAAAAGAUUGUGUAUGAACAUCCCUUCAGCAUUGGCUGAUGCUUGUUUCCUACAGCCAUGAAAAAUGGAAAUUAUUUUAUUCGUGAUAUGUAAUAUAUUUUUUGGCAAUUCAUGGAGUUCUUUCGUUGGCAUUUUUGCUUAUCAAAAUUUGGAAGACAGUUAAGCAUGGCUAAUUGUAAAAUAAUCCAGGCUUUAACUAGAAUCAAAUAUCUAUUAUAAGAUAAUUAAUUCUCUGAUUAAAAUUACGAAGAACACUAAGAAUUUUUCACUGACCUAAAAUUUACUAUUAUCAAAAUUACAACCGUGGGAAACGAGAAGCUACUCAAAACUAAUUUCAAACCUCAGUCGGAGCUAAUUUUAGGAAAAAAAAAGGCCUAACUAUAGUAAUAAUUUUCUUAGUCACGGCUGCACCAGGAGCUAAUUUAAAAUUUUAUUUGGUCUUUGUUGUGUAAUGCAGGUGAUGAAAAAUCAAGAAGAGGAAGAAUGCAGAAGGAACAUCAUAUGUAUAAAGAAAUUUGUGAUGAGAAACCAAAUGAACUCUCAGAAGAAUUAAUCAAAUGCCUAAUAGGCAUAUUUCUUGAUCUAAAUCAGCCACCACAGGAUAGAGCAGAAUCAGCCAUUAUCCCGAAGCUUGGCCUUUCAUGCAUGAGUUCAAAAAUCUCAAAACCCUCGUUCAACAGUAAAUCAUCCAUGUUUCCUCUCAACCACAAUACAUCAAAUCUUGAUCCCUACUGCAUUAUUCCAGAUUUAGACAGCAAUAUCAGAGACAUUGGACCUUACAAGAACUUCAUCCACAUUGUUAGAAACUCGUUAGAUGUCUGUCGUUUUUCAGAAGGCUUGUCAUCCUCUGGAAAAAUGAGGUUGAAAAGGUUUCCUGAGAACAUAAAAUAAUUUUUUUUUGUCCAUGCAUUUAUGUCAUGAUUCUGCUGCUUUUUUUUUCCAGGGUUUUAAUUCAGAAAUUAGGCAAUGUUGACUUGACAUUCUUGACUUACAAGCAGAAGCUAGCAUUUUGGAUUAAUAUCUACAACGCCAGCAUAAUGCAUGUAUAGUAAGAUAUCUUUAGCUAAUUAAUCAUGUCAGUCAAAUAAAUGUCUCAUACAUCAAUAUCGAGUCCACUUGUUUUUAUGAAAUUUCCAGGCAUUUCUAGAGCAUGGGCUGCCUUCCUCUCAGGAGAAACUGUUGGCAAUCAUGAACAAGGUAUGUCAAUAUCCUGAUUCUGAUUUAUCAUAAAAGUUAAACCAUUUCAAUUCAGUUUUGGCUGGGCUGUUAUAAAUUUACUGAGACUGUUUUAACUCAGGCUGCCUUGAAUGUUGGUGGGAUAGUGCUGAAUGCCUUGGCCAUCGAGCAUUUUAUUCUCCGACAUCCAUGUGAAACAAAACAUGUAAGGCAAACAGACAAAUUCAUACUUAAUGUUCUCAAUUGAUUAGAUGUCUCAAAUUUUUGGUUGUAACUUUACUUUAAGGUCCCUCUUUCAAUGUAAAAGCUUAACAAGGUGAUGUUUUCACUUCCAAGGGCCCUCCAGAUGAGAAGGAAAUGCUACUACGACGUGCUUAUGGUCUUGGGUAUCCAGAAUCCAACAUCACCUUCGCUCUUUGCCGGGGCACCUGGUCCUCCCCAGCAGUGAGUAUAUAUACAUUAUGCCAUUCGCAUAUAUUAUUAGUGUGAAUGUUAUGUUUAGAAGGAAGAGUUUGUAUGCAGCUAAGGGUUUAUACCCCAGAAGAAGUGGUAAAUGAAUUGGAGAAAGCAAAAGUGGAGUAUCUGGAAGCUUCAGUUGGGGUUACAAGCAAGAGGAAGAUUAUGAUUCCCAAGCUUCUUCAAUGGUACAUGCAAGAUUUUGCAGACAACAUGGAAUCACUGUUGGAAUGGAUAUAUAGCCAGCUGCCACGCUCUGGGUCGCUCAAACGUUUGAUGAUGGAGUGCAUUAAUGGAGAGGUUAAAUCUCCUUCAACAAAAAUGGUGGAGAUUCAAGCUUAUGAAUCUGAGUUCCGCUAUCUGUUGCCAUUGUGAAAAAGCAAAAUAAAAACUUCUCCGUAACUUAUGGAAGAUCAUGUACAAAAAUUCUGUUAUAUGUAGAAUGAUACACUCGAUAAUAAUAAGGUAAGUUAAAAACGAGUUUUGCGUUAAUUGUCACUAUCAUGAAAGCAGCAUUAUUCACCUGCCAUUGAUGAUGUCAUCUUCCUGUUUUGGCUUAAGCACGUGAUAGCUCUCAGUCUAACAGAGGCAGUGCGCAGAGUUCCUGACUUGAAAUGAUAUUUCUACCCCUAUGUAAAACAUUCCUCAGUUAUUUUAUUCGAAAUUUCAAAUUGAAAACAUUAAAAAAGCUUAAGCAUAUUUAAAUUAAAUAGACAAGUUUUUUAAACGAAAAGUUUACUUUAUAAAUUAAAUUAAAUAAUAAAGAAAUUUAUGAUAAAUAUUAGAAAGAAAAAUUUGUCUAAGAAAUUAAAAAUAAAAUCAGAAGAACUAUAAAACAAAAAAAGAAAAAGAGGGGCACACUUGCACUUGCGAGUCUCCGUCUCUCUGCAUCUCUGCAAUUCCCACUUUCACCAAUCGCCUCAAUAGCGCGUGCAGUCCACCAAACUCUCUGCCACUUUAACCCGCGCAGACACACUCUACUCUAUUGUCAUCUUCUUCAGGUACCAAACUCCUCCGAAAGUGCUAAAGCCCAAAUUAUUCUCCAUCAAAUCCCCCCAAAAUCCUUCCCUUCUCCGCCGAUUCUGUCCAUGAAGCUAUCAGUUGCUUAAUUUCAACCUCCAAUUUUUUCCACCGGCGACGUUCUUUGGUUUGUUCGCAUUUUAUCUGGUCAUUGUUUCAUAGUCUAUUUUGACCUAUUUUUGAUCCAUGCAUGGUUCUUUGGCUUUCGAUUGUUGCAUUUAUAAUGCAUUGUCUCAUGUUUUUCUUUGUUUGCUGGCCUUUAUUUUCCCUGAUCUGCAUGUGCCAUUUUUGGUUUAAGCUUAGCUAAUCAUGAUUAUGUUUUCUGAUUAUCACGUGCACUAGAAGUAGCGGUCAAUUUUUUUUUCCAUAUCUUUGAUUUAGAUUCUGUUUGGUUCUCAGGAAAGUUAGCGCGGACAUUAACCCGAAAUUUUACCUUUUUUACUGUUUUUUUUUCUCGGGAAUGGGCACAUAUUUUGCCAUUUCUUCAGUGUAUGAUAUGUGAGCUUAGCAUAUGAAAUCAUAGGAGAAUCUUCUAAACCAGCUUCUCUUUGUUCUCUAUUUUUUCCUGGCGAAGCAUGCCGACCCUGAAGUUUUAGUAAUUUGCGGGGGAUUUUUUUUUUUUUCAAUUAUUAGGUUAUCAUGCCAAAUAUACUUGGUUUGUUCAAGCCAACAAACUGUUUGUAUAGUGAUUCAAUUGUUUACAUUUCCAUUUUCUGGAUUGGUAUGAAAUUUUUGCUUCAGAAUGAAUGUUUCAUUUUUUUGGGUUCUUCCUAACCAGUGAAUAUGCCUGGGCCAUGUUCGUUUUUGAAUUGUGUACUAUUUUCUUGUAUUUGUUCACUGCUUUACAUAUUUGACCUGGUCAACCGACUCCAACCUGAUUUGUUUCAUCCCCUUUUUGACGUUUUGUUGCUUAAUGAAUUGACUGGAUUGCUGUGAAAUGCAGAUCAACUAUGUGACUGCAUUUGUCUCGUGAGCCUGAAUUUGAGUUCUUGAGUGAUGAAGAAUGUGAAUUGGGCCAAAAUAAUACCUUCUGAAUGUGUCCUUUCUUUCUGGCUUUCUGAUAAAUAGAAACCUUUAAGUCCAUGUCUUCUCUGCAUUUUCCCAAAAACAGCUAGAGACCUUUAAAUCUCAAUUUAUCCACAAGAACUAAACCUGCAGCAUUUUAAUUUUGCUAAAAUUUUCCACUUCCCAUAUUAUUUUGUUUUUCUACCAUAUCUCAUUGUUAGGUUUCUUUCUUAGAGAGUGCAGUUUUGUGAUUUGAUUUUGCAGUUUGCUAUAUAAGUCAGGCUUGAAGGCCUUCCUCUUGUUCCCUUUGACUCAAUUUUUCCACAGCAUUCUGUACUUUUGUGCUGUUUAUUUAAGUCAAUAUCAUUCUUAAGGUUUUUAGGUAAUGCAUUCUGUUCUUUGGAAUUUGGUUGCACAGAGCUUGCUCGUCAAUAAUAGUAAUCUGUCAAUACUAUUUAUAGAAUAUCUCACUUAAUUUUAAUAUUUGUUUCAGUUUUCAGUACUCCAUAGCCAAAUUUAAAUGGGAAGUUCAAUGGAUCAAAGUUCUGAUGGGGACACAGAUAUGAGUGAAUCUGAAAUGGAUGAGUAUGAAGCUCAAUCUUAUGAAGAACUGAAGAAUGGAAAUCACUCUGUGAAAAUUUCAGAUGAGACUUUCACUUGUCCUUACUGCCCCAAGAAAAGAAAGAGAGAUUACUUGUACAAGGAUCUUCUCCAGCAUGCUUCUGGGGUGGGCAAGAGUUCAUCAAAAAAAAGAUCUGCCAAGGAAAAGGCAAAUCACUUGGCAUUAGUUAAGUACUUGGAGAAGGAUCUAGCAGAUGUAGGCAGCCCAUCAAAGCAAAAGGGUGACACUGAUCCUCUCAGUGGUUGCAACCAAAAUGAGAAACUGGUGUGGCCUUGGACAGGCAUUGUGGUUAAUAUUCCAACUGCAAUGGCACAGGAUGGACGAUGUGUAGGAGCUAGUGGAUCCAAGUUUAGGGACGAGUUGAUAAGUAGGGGCUUUAAUCCCAUAAGAGUUCAUCCAUUAUGGAAUUACCGAGGUCAUUCAGGAACUGCUGUUGUUGAAUUCCACAAAGAUUGGCCUGGUUUACAUAAUGCCCUUUCAUUUGAGAAGGCCUAUGAAGCUGAUCAUCAUGGGAAAAAAGCUUGGUUUGUCAGUAGUGGAGAAAAAUUUGGUGUCUAUUGUUGGGUUGCACGUGCUGAUGAUUAUAAAGCAGAUAAUAUAAUUGGAGAACACCUAAGAAAGACUGGAGACCUUAAAACAAUUUCUGAAAUCAUGGAGGAAGAAGCAAGAAAGCAGGACAAACUAAUAUCCAAUCUCAAUAACAUUAUUGAGACUAAGAAUAAACACUUAAAAGAGAUGGAACAGAAGUGUAGUGAGACUUCAAUCUCCCUCAACAAGUUGAUGGAAGAAAAAGAUAGGCUUCUUCAUGCCUAUAAUGAAGGUAAUUUCUGUAAUACCUUAGUAUGUCUUUUAUUUACUUACUACUAUUAAGAUUGUGAAAAGUCAGUGGACUCUCUUUCUUGGUUAGUUUAGGCUUUCUGCAGUUCAUUUACAUUGCUCCAUAAUCCAUAUUCUAGGGAAAAGGUGCCUUGGAUUUCUGGUGUCCGAUAUAUUAUGGGGGAACUGAUUUAUGCCUCGUCUCUUUGCAUUUCAGAGAUUAAAAAAAUUCAAAUGAGUGCAAGGGAGCACUUUCAGAAGAUAUUUAAUGAACACGAAAAGCUAAAGUUGCAACUAGAAUCUCAGAAACAGGAGCUUGAAAUGCGUGGGUCAGAAUUGGAAAUGCGCGAAGCCAAGAAUGAAAUUGAUAGAAGGCAGCUUUCUGAAGAGAUUGAAAAGGUACAUUGUGUUUGGUAAAAUGAGCGAGUUAUAAGCUAUCACAGAUUCACAGUCUACUAGCAUUGGGGGUUUCAUUGAAUCAAUAACAGAUCACUAUCUCUCUAAUUUUUUACUGGUAACUUACUACUUGCGUGAAGUUAAACUGUCUCUGGUUCCAAUCAUUUCAUUUGCUUCCAGAAAGAAACUGUCUUUACUGAGCAGGAAUAUAUAAUGGUUUUAUUUUCAUAUAUCCUAGGCUUGUUUUCUGAAUGAUUUUAUGCUCAUGGGAUUUCCUGUUGGCUAAUGGUGUGUUUACUUGAGGAAAACUAGCAUGGAUUUGUGGAAAAUUUUUCUAAGAAAAAUGAACUUUUCUUUUGUACCCUUUUUCUGUAAAGGUUUCAUUUGUGCCAAGUUUUUAAUUUCUUUUUGGCUAGGUUGUCUUUUUCUUUUUUCCCCUUUCAUUAAUUCUUAAUUUUAUCUUGUUAUUUCUUUUAUACUAUUUUUGCCUUAUAAUUUUUUCCUUUUUCAAUAAAUAGUCUUAUUUUUUAAUUUUUGUUGUUUAUUUUCAAUAUUCUAUUUGAUAUGUGAUUGAUUAUUUUUACAUAAAAAAUAUUUACCAGUGAAAAGAAAGAUAAUGAGAAAAUUUAAAAACAUUUCAUGAAGUAAAUGACACUGUGCAUUAUGUACAUAUAUAAUUUUAUGUUUGGUGCAGAACAUUUUUCUGUUCCCUUCACAAAACAGUUUUACUAAAAACAUAUUUUUAGUUGUUUUCUGUGCUUCCACAGAAUGGAAAUUGAGUCUUUCUUUGAAAAUUGAAAAUGAAAACGGAAAAUUGUUUUCUAUAAGUAGUUGUAUUAUGUGCUUCCACAGAAUGAAAAUUGAGACUUUCUUUGAAAAUUGAAAAUGAAAAACGGAAAAUUGUUUUCCAUAAGUAAACAGGCCCAAAGCUUCUUCUUACGGUGCUGUUAGUGCAUGUGAUCUAUUCGUCGAUUUUAUCUCCUGUUUCAGCAUCCAGCCAUCCACAUAAUGCAUAAGAUAAAAUAAAUCCAUUAUUUAAUGAGUGUCUUUUAUGAGAAGCCAUUGCACGGGGAGCAUGCAGCAGUUGCCAUAGGAACAGUGGUGAAGUUGGUGUUGAUGCUGCCCUCAGCUGUGUUACUGGAGACUGUCACAUACAACUGGUUUUUGCUAUUAUAAAACAUCUGUGAAUGUUCUGGUCUUUAGAUUCAUCCUUCUUGGUGAUCUUUUGCGUCUCUGUGGGGGAAAUUUCAGAAAAUUAGCUGUUUCUUUCUUCUUAUUAUGAUAUGGCUUAAAGGUAAAAAAGGGAAAGAAAAGGUUCAUUCAGAACUGUGAUAUAAUUUGUGACUGAAGGGCACAUUUAAAUGUUUAUCACAUUAUCUACUCAAAUAUUCUGGUCAUUUGAUUAGUUUAUCUAUUCUGAUUUCUUGUUAGAAUGCAAUCAGAAAUAGCUCACUUCAGUUGGCUUCUUUGGAGCAAGAGAAGGCUGAUGAGAAUGUUUUGAAAUUGGCUGAAGAUCAGAAGGUAUUUUUGUUGUUUGAAGUGCUCGAAUAAUUACUGGAGUCACUGUUAAACAAAUACAAAUUGAUGUUUAAUUUUUUCAGAGGCAAAAAGAGGAACUGCACAACAGAAUCAUUCAACUGGAAAAGAAGCUGGACGCCAAACAAGCUCUGGAACUGGAAAUUGAGAGACUUAGAGGCUCAUAUAACGUGAUGAAGCAUAUGGGAGAUGAUGGCGAUGCAGAAGUUCUGAAAAGGAUGGAAUUAAUAAUUGAGAAUCUGAGAGAAAAGGAAAUAGAAUUUGAGGAAUUAGAAACCCUGAACCAGGCUCUUAUUGUAAAAGAGCGCAAGAGCAAUGAUGAACUGCAGGAAGCUCGGAAGGAAUUAAUUAAUGUAAUUCUAUUUUUCCAGUUUUUAAAAGUUUCCUCCAGUUAGGUUUCAAGUUAUGAUAGAGCGGGCAUCUGCCUUUUUCACAACCUGGCAACAUUUUGUUAUUUGGUUCAUUCAUGAUACAACGUUUUUUCUAUUCCAUAGUCGAGCUGCUUGCCCAAAUGGUUAUUUAAGGAUUUGUUGAUGACAGAUGUGUCGUAAAAACCUUAGCUCACUGGCCAUAGUAUUAAAAUUUCUGAUAUUUACAAAGACAGUUUUAAUUUUUAUUUAAAUAUUUGUCAGAUAAUUCAUCAAGUUAUGCUUGAAGCACUAGAACCUGUUUUCUACACCUUGCUUGUGGCAGAGUACUAAUUCACUUACCUUUCAGGGCCUGAAAGAGGUAUCAACUCGUGCUCAUAUUGGUGUUAAGAGAAUGGGAGAACUAGACAGUAAACCAUUCCUUGAAGUAAUGAAGAAAAAGUAUACAGAAGAUGAAGCAGAAGUCAGGGCUUCAGAACUUUGCUCAUUGUGGGUGGAAUAUCUCAAGGAUCCUGACUGGCAUCCUUUUAAAGUUGUCAUGGUUGAUGGAGAACACAGGGUAUGUUUUGGACAAGUAUCUCUUAACAUUUGGCUGCCACAUAUUUGUCUUUAGAAAAUCACUAUAUCACAGAAUGAAUAAUGUGUAUCAUGUGCAUUGUUAUUGGAUUUGUUUGAUAUCUCUUUAGUGCUGGAAUGAACAUGAACAAGCAUAAGGACUUUCUGUUAAUUUAUGUUACUGGUAUAUUCGUUUGCAUGAAUAUCCAUCAAAAUAGUUGUCUAUGUAGUGUUUCAGUAAUCAAUUAUUUUUUUGCCAGAAAAUGUUUUUAUUUUUAUUAACCUAUUCUCAAGUGAGAGGAUUGGCAAAUUGAAGAAACUGCGCACUUAUACAUUCUGUGCCAUGAGCCUGCAAUUUACCACAAUUGCUCCACAGCCUGGAACAUUUAAUUGUAGUUUGUAUUCUUCACUGUAAUCUUCCCAGUGUAACAUCAUUUUCAAUUCUUGACUUUCUUGUUCUCAUGUCUACAUUUUUUUCAAUGUGAUUUUCUUUUGAGAGUUGACGUGAAUUGAAUGCCUUAUGCACUUAUGAGCUCUGGUUGCAUAUUUAUAUAAUUGUAUGCUUAUUUAUUACCUUGCUGAUAAUGUGCCUUUGCUAUACUUCUGAUAGAAUUUAAGCGGCCAAGUGCAUGUCAUUUGCUGUAAAUGAUUUUGGAAAAUUUAGGAAGAUUGUCUUUUCUUGCAUAUUUAGUAACUGGACAAUUUAAUUUAUACAAGUUAAUGUGUUAUUAUGGGAUUUGUUUAUACCUCAAUUUUCCCUUCUUUGCAACUGAACCCUGGUUCUUGCUUCCUUUCACAAUGAUAUGGCUAUAUUUCUAUUUGUUGGUUCAGGAAGUAAUUAACAAUGAGGACGAAAAAUUGAAAGAUUUGCGAGAUGAGAUGGGCGAUGAAGUUUACAAGGCCGUUACUGAUGCUUUAAUGGAGAUAAAUGAAUACAACCCCAGUGGAAGGUAUAUAAUCUCAGAGCUGUGGAAUUAUAAAGAAGGGCAGAAGGCUACGUUGAAAGAGGGAGUCUCAUUUUUAAUGAAGCAAUGGCAAAUAGCUAAACGCAAGAGGCUUCUUUGAAGGUUGGUACAAUUCCCAGUGGUUGAAACAGAAUUGUCAGUUCAUUUCUCCUAUUUGCAUUGCAUAGUUAUUGUCCACUUUGAUUAUAUUGUCUCAAUAAGGAAAGAAAAAAGAGUGGUUAUUCAGGGGAGAAAAAAUGACAGGAAAAAAAAAAGAAGAAAAGCGGUGCUCAGAACUCGUGCUGCUGGAAGGCAUGUUGAUGAAAAUCAGCUACCUUUUUCUUGAAGCAAAUAACAAUAAUGAUGUGGGAAAUAAUUCAACAGUCACAUAAACUGGUUAUGUUCGUUCUUUUCAUUUGUCGAUCAAAUUGUUAGCAUUGGUCUCACAUAGAAGCAUUGAUGCUGCUUACAGGAAACAAUCAUAUCCUAUGCUGAGAUGAUGUGCCCCAAAGUUGGGAGGCAGCUGAACGGGGGAUGAGGCGUUAUAAAAUGAGCAGCCUUCUUAUUUCAUAUUCUCGUUUGCUUCAGGCAUUAAUUCCGUGCAGGCUAGGCUGAUUUAUUGUUUGUCUUUCAGAACUGUAUUUUACGUUGUGUUUGACUUUGCCAUAAGCCAAAUCAGCUUCACGUCAGUCGCGAAAUGCUCUGGCUUGUGAGAACUGGAGAAAUAACUUGGCUUAUUUGCUGUGAUAUAUUGAAUAUGAUGGUUGCAGGAGAUGCUGCUCUUGUGGAGCAGCUUGCCUCAACUUUCCAUGUAACUUGUAGUUUAUCGGUGUUACAACAACUUGUAGGCAUAUGUUUGGAGAGAAAUCUGCCUGACUCUCCAAUUUUCAAUGCAAAUGUGCAUCGUCUGGUAUAAGUUUGUGUAUCAAGGGAGAAGGCUUGACUUUAAAAUCUAUGAUUUAUUGUUGUCUUUACGCGUGUCUUGGGGAGUCAGCCGUUAAUCGGAUGGUUUCCAGUUACGUAAGAGGUGGGUUAUAAGCUUGGUUCCCUGACAGCUCUUUUGUGAACGACUAUGGAUCGCUUUUGACGAGAUAAUAAUCUGUCAAAACAACGAGCCUUUGGGACAUGUGGAUUCAAAGCUAAAUGUGGAUUGCAGCUUAUAGAGCCAAUGCUUUCUUCCCCUUGAGCAGGGGAAAUUAGAGAAUGUUUCAGCAAUGCAUCAUUGAAGAAACAGUUUCCUUCAGGGUGCUACCCUAAAUUGCUACCAUAUUAUGAGUUAUUUACACAUACUCGCAUGAAAGAAAAAAAAAAUAUUAAUAAUUCUAACCCGUGAGCGUGUCAAUGAUAUUCACAUGGUAAUCUAGUUGUUGUUGUUAUUAUUAUUAUUAUUGCAAGAUGAUAUAUAAUUCCAGUUUUUAUGAAUAAAUCUGGAUUACUUAGCAUUAUUAAUAGUUCAUGUUCACAGAGAGAGAGAGAGGUGUUCCAGCUUCAUAAUAGAUCCAUGUUAGACCGUUGUUGUUUAUGUAAAUGAAUUCAUUACUUAAUACCAUUGUUGCUUAAGCUAAUAAUACUUUGUUUUAACAUAUAAAUCUAUGAAUAUAUAUAAAUCCAAUUAGCAUCUACUAGUUAUUUAUGCUUUGGAUCACUGCUAUCGACUUUAUUCCAUUUUUCACUAGUUGCAGAUCCAACUGCUGGAGCUGGAAAGCUUCCAUCCAUGAAACCAAAUUUACCCUUGGUUCUCUGGGCAAGAAUCAUGGAGCUACUCCAUGAUAGGUAAUUUCUUCCUGUCAAAGGAGCACUCAACAACAUUGUGCCUAGGUGAUCUGAAUUUUGCAGAUGAACAAGGUUAUUUUCAGAAGCCUGGGUUGGAUUUUGAUUAGUGGCAAUGGCAGUGAUACUAUUUGUUUCGGCCAUUGGUUGCUAAAAGAGAAGAGGAUGAUAAUGAGCAAGAAGGCGAAUAGCAUGGAGCCAAUGUAAUUUCAGUGAAUUCUAUAGAAUUCCAUGCACUUUGUGUUAGUCGUCCUCAAAAUUGUAUUCAAAUUGAACAAUGGGCUUUACUAAUGGGCUCUCGAAAGCCCUAGGAGUUCGGACUGUCCUAUAAAAUUGAAAAAACCUAGAAUUUCAAGCAUUCUUGCUGGAAUAGCUCUGCAUCUGUGUCUUGAGUUUCCAGCCGUCACCAAAACCUCCCUCGGCUAAAAUUUUUCGUUAUUUUUUCUCCCAAAUUUGCAUCUUUUGAUUCUUUAAUUAGGUGUAUAAACUAAUGGGUGAUGAUUUGAAAGAGAGAGGCUUGAGUGGGGAUCUCAAAAAUCUAACCAGAGGGUAAAGGGAGUGAAAGGCAAAGAAGAUGCCGCCAUUCUUCUUAAGGAAUUGAGCUUGGAUGUCUCCAAUUUGCCAUUUUUUCCUUCUUUUUUGCCUCUUUUGAGUUGGGUUUUCCCACAGUGAGGGAUCUUUCAAUCCUUUACACUUGAGAUAUGAACCCAAAUCUCAAAUUUUAUGCAUAUUAUUAUUAUCUCUUCUCCUUUUUGCUUCGGAGUUUGUAACAAUUUGCAUUUGUUGUUUUUUUUGUUAUGAGGAAGCACUUUGUUUUUGUUUUCUCAUUGAACAACAGUGCAGACAGAGAAAGCCUGAUUGCUACUUCGUUUUCUCAAAGCAGAGUGCUGUUUUGGGGAAAAUAGUUAUGUAAUUAGGCAGCGGCCAGACAACCGUAGGGAUGGAAUCCACAGAUGGCGGAUUUUUGAUACCGCUUUGUCUACUAAAUCCCAUCUCACAUUUAAAUUUUUAAUGGAUGACAUUGAUUGCACUCAUGAGAUUGUUGUUGGGUGUUGCUAGUUAUUUAAUCUGAUGUACUGAAUUAGCGGCUGAACGGAAACCCCCAAGUUGUUUGAUGAUAUGCCUAAAAGAUUUCAACUAUUACCUUAUGCACACCAGCUUACAUGCUGUCAAUCUCAAGUAAAUGAUUUUAAUUCUCUACCACCAUUUAAAUAAGCAGGUAGAACUGAUGGAAUACCUUUACCAUGAGCCUUGGCCCAUGACAUGUUGUGAGUCAAUUUUAAUGAUGUUUCUGGACUCAUGGUGCUGCUCGUUCCGCUUAUGUUUUCUAGUAAAGUGAAUUAAAGUUUCAUAAAUUUUUUCUUGACUGAUGCAUGAUAAUUUUGGAGAGAGGAGAAUACAUUCUACAAUUUGUUAGUGCCACUUCACCUGGUUGAAUAUUUGUGAAUGACAAAACAUUAUAUUAAAUGCUAAGAACAUAUUUCUGGCAUUUGGCGUCGGUAUGCAAUACUAUUGGCAUGUUUGUUGGUUCCAUUUCUUCAUAUUUAAAGUUGUUGUGAAGCUGAAAUCUUCCAUUUUGCAUUUGCUAUCUGCAAUAUUUACCAUCCUUGUGUUUCGUUUCAAGGAUUGUGAAACAAAGACUUGAAACAUUAGUAAUCUCUUUCGGCAAAUGGUUUGUGAAACAAAGACUGUAUUCGACUAUUAAUUAGUCAUCUCUUUGGCCCUAGAUGAUGCAUUACAUGGGGAGCUUGUAAGUAAUGAGCAGAAGCCUUUAGCUUCCCUUUUGUGGAUGUAUUCAUAGGCUGAGCUCCAUUGUUAUUAUUUGUAUGCUUAUGAAUGCAAACCUAGCAAUUCAACGCAGCAGCAUGAUCAAUAGAAAAAACAGAGCACAAUUUCGGAAUGGGGAACUGUGAAUCGAUUUAUGUCAAAAUGGUUCCUUUGAUUGUUUUCGUUGAUGCAACUGGCCCAUCCUUGAUAAAGCUACGACAAUCUCUGGCUGUCUUGUAUGUUCCAACUGAUAAUUAUAAAAUAUUUUCUUUAUCUUGUAUUUUAUUUAUACAACUUCAUUUAAUAAUAUAAUUAAUAUCAUUAUCUUCGAUAAGACUUGUUUUAUUUUUUAAUAAAAUUCAAUAGUUUAAAUGAUAUUUCAAUUAUAAAAUAGAUUUAUGUGCUUAUCCGAGUGCAGCUAGUUCAUGUUUUUUAAGUAGAGAUAAGGUAAGGUUUAUAUUAAAGUAAAAUGUGUUAAAAUAAAGUUUAAUGAAAAGUUAUCAAGUAUUUAAAAAAUUUAAAUUAGUGAGAUAAAAAAAAUGAAAAUUUGUCCAAAAAUAAAAACUCAAAUCUUAUUUGAAGAUCCAUGAAUUCUUUAAAAUAUACACUCAAAGUUUUAACUUAUUAAAACUUUCAAUUGAACAUAAUGACAUCUCAUUCAACUUUCGCAAGUUUACUUCUAUAAUUUAUUUGUGACUUGAUACUUUCGUCUUUUUCUCUUACUUAAAUUUAAUUUUUUUUUUCUUUCUCUAUAGAAAUUGAUUCUAUUGAUAAAAAAAAAAAUGUUAUUGUCCCUGUUAAGAGAUUCAAAAAUACUCUUUAAUUUCUGUAUAGUGGGGAUGUUUCUCACAUACAAUAAUCCAAUACAUUUUAUUUUUGAUAAAAAUAAAAAUGUUUAGUUCUCGUAUAAAUUUUUUUUUAUAAUUUUUUUACAUUUUGAUGGUUGCUCCUCAAUCGAUAGACAAUAAUUGGGAGGAGACUUUUCAUUAAUGUGGAAGAGUCAUGUGUCUAUUUUUGUGGUUGACUUUUUUUCAAAUUUUAUUGAUUCGGUUGAUUCGGAAUAUAAUAUUCAAUAGAGAUUUACUAGUUAUUAUAGAUUUUCGAAAUCGCAAUAACGACGUCAGUUUUAAAACCUUAUUCGAGUUUUAUCUCGUAUAAGCUCUCUUCCGUAGCUUUGUUCGGAAGAUUUUAAUGAUUUCUUCUCGAGAGAUGAGAAAGGAGGAGCAUCUUUGUCAAAUGAUUUUAUAUAGAGAUUUAGACAGACACUUGAGAAAUAUUUUUACCAAAUUAUCUUAUGUAGGGAAUUUGAUUUUAAAUAAUUGUAAAUUUUUAUUAGAUUUUAGAACUGGUAUAAUCGUCUCUCUAUUUGAGAUAAUAUUUCUGAUAAAAUUUUAUUAAUAUAAUUAGUAGUUUUGUUUUAAAAAAAAAAUAAAAAAACUUUCAAUUGCUGGAUAAAAAUUCUUUAAAGUUUGAUCCUUCAUUUUCUUUCUAUGCAUAGCGAAAGUCCUUAAAAGUUAAUGGAUAUUUUUCUUAGUAUUGAAAACUUAUUUUCUCGACUAAUUAUUUAAAUCUUUAAACUUGAUUAACUCAUUAAGUGAAUAAGCAGUGACUCCCAAAGUUUUAAGUAUCUUAUAUUAAAAAAAUCGUGCGAUCCCAUUCCACAUUUUAAAAAUAAAAUCUGAUAAUUGUUGGAUAUCUGCUAUACAGAUCGCAGUCGAAUCCACGUAGGAGAGUCAGGUCGUAACUUAUCAGAGUUCAAUAUGCAACCUUGUCUUCUAACACACAGCUCAAAUUACGUUUGGACAGAACGGCACUCGUACCCAAUAGAGAAGGAUCUAUCUCACUUGACUUGAUAGGUCAGGAGGGGAUAGACCCCUGCACAUACAAAACCAUAUCAGCACGGAUGCCAGAAUGGAGAAAGGGAACGGUACGUCCAUACGUAUAGUUCUGUAUAAUAACGACAUGUAGCACCGUAGUAAAAUAGCGGUUAUAUAUCAUCAAAAAAUAAAAAAAAAAAUAAAAAAUAAAAAAAGAUGACGUAAACUAUUCGGAUUAAAUUUAUGUAUACAUACCCAAAACUCUAUUCGUUUUUGGAUUUCAGAUCAUAAAAAACAAAAGAGGGUAUUAAUGAUGAACCUAUUCUCACUAUUAUCAAAUUGGAUAAGAAUAAAUUUAUUACUAUAUAUGUUUAAUAUUGAUAGCAUUCACACCUCUAAUUAGUUAACCUACUUAAACUAAUUUAUGAUUAGAAGAGUUCCCAUAUUUUUAAAUUUAUAUUCUUAUUAUCUUAUAUAAAUACUUAUAAACAAAAUUCUACUUAGCCCUAAAAGUUAAAAACUUUCUUAUAAUCCAUGAAAUAUCUUUCUAGUUUUUAUUCCUUUCUUACCCUAAAUAGCUAAUCAUGACCAUUAAUUCAUUAAUCUCAUUGUCUGAUACCAUUGGAAGACAAGAAGAAAAUUUCUACUUUGGCACUAAAGCUUUAACUUUAAGUAAAAGAAGAAUAUUUUUGUGUGAAACUGAAAAAGAUUAUAUACUAAAGCAGCACUUCCAUUCCACUGGUUCAAUUUCAACUUGGACACUCUGAUUUUUAUUAGGGAAAGUUAGUUCCUUCCAAGUUCCAUUUCAUUCCAUCCAAACACUUUUCCUUCAAGUACAUAAAUAAUAAUAAUAAAAAAAAUCUUUUAUUAAAUGGAUAUUUACACAUGUAUUUUAAUAUUUUUAUCUAUUAAAUAUCUUAAAUUUGAUCGUGUUUUCUAACAAGCCUUUAAAUUAAAAAAAUAUAUUUUAAAAUACAAUUUUGUCAAAUUCAUGAUUUUAAAAUUGUGUUUAAAAAUAAUUUUUUAAAUUUAUAGUUUUAAAACUAUGUUUAAAAGUAAUUUUUAAAAUUGUGUUUAAAAAUAGAUUUUUUAAAAAAAUUUAAGUAUUUAAAAUAAUAUUUUUAAAGUUUAAGUAUUUAUUAAAUUAUGAUUAAAGUUGAGAUAUCUAUAGUUUGUCCUCUAUAGUUUGCACUUAAUAAGGCUUUAAAUAUUGUACCUACAAUUUUUUUUUUUAUGUUAUAAUAACAUAUAUAAAUUAACUAUUACAAUUUUAUUUUAUUUAUAAAAAAUUUCUCAAAAUACUUUUUAGUAUUUAAUAAAAUUUAAUAUUUUAAAAUAGAUAUACUUAAAAUAUUUAAUAAAAAUUCUUUUUUAAUAUAUACAAAAAUUAAAGUUGAUAAAAAUUAUGAGAUGGGAGAUAAUAUUUUUAGAUGAAUUUAAAUUCAAAGAGAAUUUUUUAAUAUAAAAAAUAUAUUAAAUUUUAAUUUUAAAAUCUAUAUUAACUGUUAAUGAUGAAAUUAAGUAAUAAUUUGAGUUUUAUAGAUAUAUAUAAAUAUAUUUAUAAUUUAUAGUAUUUUAUAUUAUGAUUUUAUUAUACUCUUUUGAAAAGUUUAAGCCUCGUUUUUAAUAAAAUUUAAAGAUAUAAAAAUAUAUUUAUUUUAAACAAUAUAUAUUAAAUGCAUAAUCUUUCUAUUUAAAGAUUUGAUGCAUGCAGUUUUAAAUUGAAUAAAUUAAAAUUUAAAAUUUUAAUAUUUAUAAAAAUUAAAUUGAUUUUAGAUAAAAUUUAAAUGGAAUCAAAUCAAUAUAAUUCGAUUUAAUUCAGUUUUAAUCAAUUAAAUUUUUUAAUAGAUUUUUUUAAUUUUUAUAUUUUAUUUUUAAUAUUUUAAAAUUUAAUUAUAAUCUAAUUUUUUUAUAUUAUUAAAAAUAAAAUAUUAUAAUUAUUAAUCAAUUUGUUUUAUUUUUUUAAUUUUUUUAUUAAAAUUAAAUUGAAAUAAUUAAAAUUUUUAAAAUUAAAAAUUUAAUAAAAUCAAAAUAAAUAAAAAAUUAAAUUAAAUUAAUUUAUUAAUUUUUUAUUUAAAUUGGAUAAUCAUCAUUCUAUUUUAAUAACCACAGAUUCGCUGGGCAAAAAUUUAAGAGAAUUAAAAUAACACGUAUAUAUGUUGUAUUAUAUUAAAUUAUAUUGCGGUAAAUAAAAGCUGCGGGCUAUAUGACUAUGCAGCCACCUCAGCUCCUCCAUUACAUCAACUUUUUCACCUUUUACCCCAAAAAAGCAAAGAAAAACUCCAUUUUUAAAGUUCGCCGGCACACUUUUCCCCAUUUCAAAUUUUCCCAGAAAAAGGGGGAAAAUCCAAAAUUUUAAAGGGAAAAUUAAACCCUGAAAUUCUUUCCAAUGAAAGUUUGACCAAAUUGCCAAUUUGAAGGGACAAUAUUCCAAGAAGUGGAGCUGCGUCUGUCACUGCCUGUGACCCUGAAGGAGAGUGACUGACCAACCAAAAUAGAAUUUGAUUGCCAGUUUUGACCCCAAUUGCGGCUCAUGCUCAUCCAUCCAGUCUUUGAGCCCUUCACGCUCGCCUUCACUAUAUCUCCUGCACCUGCGACGUUGGUGAUCAAUACCAAGUUGAAAUAACGGAAGCCGUUGAUUGUGAACCUGAUUCCUCCUUGCUUCCUGCAUGGCACCCUACAAAAUCAUGGAAAUUUAAUUAUUUUUCUUUUAUGUUUUAAUAAUUUACAAAAUGUGUUACAAACAAUGUAAUUCAGUUAAAUUUAGAAUUGCUAUUUAAAAAAAAAAUUAUUGCAUAAAUACUAUUUAAAAAAAUUAAAGUUUAAAAUAAAUUAUUUAAAUUAAAAAAAAAAUACCAUUAGCGAUAAUAAAUUCAAAUACUUUUCCAAAAGGUGUAAAUUUGUGAAUAAUUUUCCUUGAAAUUUUUUCAAAGAAAGAACACCAGAAAGGAGUUAACAGAGUAAGAAAACGAUCAUUUUACCGGCGAUAGGAUACAGGGACGAUUCCGGCAUGGUACUCGGCGAUCUUGAGGAACAUGGGCAUGGCAAGAUCAAAGUGAGGGCGAGGAGGGUUGCACCACCCGCCAUUGUCAUUAGGCAGAGCAUAGUUAGGAGGGCAAAAGUUGGUGGCAGUGAUAAAGAUUGAUGGGCUGCCGGAGUGGCACCAUUGUGGGUCAUUAGCGCACUUGAUUUCGAAACAAGCACCGCAACUAAGUCCAUUGUUGAAAAGGGCUGUGCUCAGCGCUGCAGUGUUCACCCCAUAGCCUUGGCUGUAGAGGUUUCCAUAGCCACAGGCGCCACCUGCACACAAACAAACAGAAUGAUAAGAUCAUUUUCAAUUUCUAACGGAUGGGCUUUUCUUGGAAAAUGCACAACACAUCAUGGGUCAAUUAUGAAAAAUGCAGAUACCCUCGAGAGGUGAAGAACAGAGCAAAUACAGAUGAAUAAAAUCAGUGGAAAUUGUAUCUACUUUUUGAAAAAUGAUGAGCUUAACAAGUAGUAUAGCUGAAAAUUGCAGUACCCAUUGUUCCAGAUGCAUCACUACCACCAUAGAAAGUAGCAUGGGCGCUCUGCCAGGAUCCACCAGUGUAAACACCAGGAAUUCUUGCAUCAGCAAGAGUCAGCAACAGCACUACAGACACAACACCAAAUGCAGACCUUGCAGCCAUUGAUUUGUUCACUAAUCUAUGCUCUAAAGAGAAGAGAGAAAAAGAGAGAGAUGAGGAUUUUUAGGGUGGUGGGGUGUGAGAAGAAAGCAAAGAGAGGGCUGGUAUUUAUGGAUGCAAGAGGGAUGAGAUUGUGAAAAAAGAGAAACCCAAUUAUCAUCCUUAAUCAAUGGUGUUUAUUUGUUCUCUAGUUAAUUAAACCAAAAACCUUUUCUUUCUUUUGCCUCUACGGCGGUAAUCCUUUCAACGUUUGGGAAUCUUUAUUGGUCUUUAUUGCAAUUUAAUGCUCUUUAUUAUUUGACAGAAAUGCCCUUAGGGUUUUACCAUUUUGGGAAUAGUGUCAUUAUGGUUUUAGUAAAAAGUAUGGGCAUAUGAGGGAAUGAUGCUUUAAGGCCGAGUAUGAAAGGGCUUUGCUUCACUUGCAAGUCCUUUCCAUUCCUUUACUUUGGUUUCCUUUCCUUUUGGUUUCUUUUUGAGACUUUUCCCUCUCUUGAAUGGGAGGUGAUGGAGUUGAAUUUGGAGGGAACUACUAGUUGGUAGUAC
Molecule: long non-coding RNA, 40558 nt
Filed under: Manihot esculenta (cassava)
Lineage: Eukaryota; Viridiplantae; Streptophyta; Magnoliopsida; Malpighiales; Euphorbiaceae
Description: long non-coding RNA (MESC_LNC004244)
Rfam family: tRNA (bases 20164-20236)
Source: RNAcentral